AGAUGAGUGAAAAAGCUCGUUCCCGGGCCACCGGGAGCGAUACCGGUACCGGGCUUCCCCAGCGCCGUACUGGUCGUGCGUUCGCGCACACUCCUCACCGAUCGGA
Molecule: non-coding RNA, 106 nt
Organism: Streptomyces sp. MBRL 10
Lineage: Bacteria; Bacillati; Actinomycetota; Actinomycetes; Kitasatosporales; Streptomycetaceae
Source: Rfam